GAAUCUAAUAGUUUAUUAUUUAUUAAAUUUUUAUAUUUAUUUUAAUAAAAAUAUUUUUUAUUUUAUUAUUUUUAUGAAAAAAUAUUUGUAAUUAUAGUUUAAAGUAUUGAGAAAGAAAAUAUAAAUUGUAUAAAAGAAAAAUUUAAGUUUUGUACCUUGUGUAUCAGGGUUGAUUAAAAAUAAUUUUAUAUUAAAUAUUCUCGAAUUUAAAAGAGCUAAUUAAUUAUUUAUUUUAUUGUAAAAUAAAUAUUUAAAAUAAUUAAUUAGAAAUGAAACGUUAUUCGUUUUUAAAUAUAUCUAGUUUUUAAAGAAAUUAAUUUAAUUUAAUUAUUUAUAGUUAAUUUUUUAUAUUUUUAAAUUUUUAUUAUAAAUAUUAAAUUUUUUUAGGGAUAAGCUUAAAAAAAUACUCUUAUAAUAGAUUAAAUAUUAAAUAAUUUAUAGGAUUAAAAUUUUCUAUUGUUAAAAAAAUGUUAUAAUUAAUUAUUUAUAUUUUAAUAUUUUUAUUUUUAUUUAAGUUUUUUAUUUAAAUAUAUUUUUGAUUUUAAUAAAAUUAGUAAUAAUGAUUAAAUUAGUAUAAUUUUUAUGUAAUUAUUAAUUAAUAAUUUUUAGGUUAAUUUAAGGAACUCGGCAAAUUUAUUUUUCACCUGUUUAAUAAAAACAUGUCCUUUUGAUUAUAAUUUAAGGUCUGAUCUGCCCACUGAGGAAUUAAAUGGCCGCGGUAUUUUGACCGUGCAAAGGUAGCAUAAUCAUUAGUUUCUUAAUUAGAAGCUGGAAUGAACGAUUGAAUGAGAAAAUAACUGUCUCAAUUUAAUUUAAUUAGAACUUUAUUUUUAAGUAAAAAAGCUUAAAUUUAGUUAAAAGACGAGAAGACCCUAUAGAGUUUUAUUUAUUUUUAAUAUAAAAAAUAUUGUUUGUAUAAUUUUUAUAUUAAAAAUAAAUUUUGUUGGGGUGAUAGAAAAAUUGAUUUAACUUUUUUUAUAUUUAAACAUUAAUUUAUGAUUAUUUGAUCCAAUUAUUUAUUGAUUAAAAGAAUAAAUUACCUUAGGGAUAACAGCGUAAUUUUUUUUGAGAGUUCAAAUCGAAAA
This 1085-nucleotide ribosomal RNA is filed under the name Neoscrobiger rauciceps. RNAcentral describes it as "partial 16S ribosomal RNA". The record is from RNAcentral. Lineage: Eukaryota; Metazoa; Arthropoda; Insecta; Coleoptera; Cleridae.